AUGGCGGCGACGUACGCCAACCUCGGGGAGACGCUCGGUGACGCGGCGUUCGUCAAGAAGCUGCUGGAUACGGUGCCGGAUCGGCUCUUCCCCGUCGUCGCCGGCAUCGAGCAGUUCCACGAUGUGACGACGAUGGCGUUCGACGAAGCGCUCGGCCGGCUGCGCGCAUUCGAAGAGCGAGUUCGGCGUCAACGGCAGGACAGCGGCGAGCGGGCGGACGGACAGCUCCUGUUCACGGCGGUGCAGUGGCGAGCGCUGGAGCGGCCGCAAGGUGGAGCACGGGACGACGACGACGGGCGCAGCAUGGCGUUGGUGAGCGGCGGCAACAGGCGCAGGCGCUGCUACAAGUGCGGGGAGUACGGGCACUUCCGGCGCGAGUGCCCGCAGCUGCGGAAAGGACCGGCGGCGGAGCAGGCUCUCUUGGCCGGCGCCAACGUCGACGACGACGGACUCCUCUAG
Molecule: ribosomal RNA, 459 nt
Filed under: Triticum aestivum (bread wheat)
Lineage: Eukaryota; Viridiplantae; Streptophyta; Magnoliopsida; Poales; Poaceae
Description: partial small subunit ribosomal RNA
Source: RNAcentral